RNAcentral lists this ribosomal RNA (369 nucleotides) under uncultured bacterium. Its description in RNAcentral is "bacterial SSU rRNA". It matches the Rfam family "Bacterial small subunit ribosomal RNA", at positions 29 to 377 of the family's 1533-position model. The record is from RNAcentral.
AAUGAACGCUGGCGGCGUGCUUAACACAUGCAAGUCGUACGAGAACACUCUAGCUUGCUAGGGUAAGUAAAGUGGCGCACGGGUGAGUAACGCGUGGGUAAUCUACCUUCGAAUUGGGGAUAACGUUGCGAAAGCGACGCUAAUACCGAAUAACAUCCAUUAAUCUUCGGGUUUUUGGAUCAANGGUGGCCUCUACAUGUAAGCUACUGUUUGAAGAUGAGCCCGCGUACCAUUAGCUUGUUGGUGGGGUAAAGGCCUACCAAGGCUUCGAUGGUUAGCUGGUCUGAGAGGAUGAUCAGCCACACUGGAACUGACACACGGUCCAGACUCCUACGGGAGGCAGCAGUGAGGAAUUUUGCGCAAUGGGGG